Molecule: unclassified non-coding RNA, 459 nt
Filed under: Hevea brasiliensis (rubber tree)
Lineage: Eukaryota; Viridiplantae; Streptophyta; Magnoliopsida; Malpighiales; Euphorbiaceae
Source: RNAcentral
GUCUUAUUCAUGACAUAUGUAUAACUUUUGGCAUUGGUUAUUUGGCUCUUUUUUUCUUUUUUUUUAUGAUAGAUAUAAGACUAGUUCUCUUGGUGUUUAGAAACUAACCCAAUUCAUUAAGCUAACCCUGUAGCAUACUAGCUUCACUAUCCUACAUGUCCUCUACGAACAAAUGACAAGCAAAUAAAGAUGACAAUAUAAUAAAGUUUAAUCUAUAGUGUAAAACUAAUUUCAAGUCAUAAUUUACAACUCAACCCUCUGUUCCUAUACGUACAGCUACCUAACCUUCGAAGUAUAAGAUGCAGGCCAAAGCUGCACCCUCCGAUCCGUAGACCUUGCAUGUUCAAGCCCUGCCACUAUCCACAAUCAAAUAUAUGAGCUCUACCAAGGGCCUGUUAGUGUCCUCCGCAAGCAUUUCCUUUUAGAUCCCCAUUGCCGAUUUAUUGUCUCCAGGAACUG